This is a non-coding RNA of Punica granatum (pomegranate), 3529 nucleotides long. NCBI's taxonomy places the organism in Eukaryota, Viridiplantae, Streptophyta, Magnoliopsida, Myrtales, Lythraceae. The record is from RefSeq and is a predicted model, not a curated record.
UUAUACGAUUUAAUAUAAUCUGAUAAAUUUCAAAACAAAUAUGGAAAAAAAAAUCUUUGGCAAAUGAGGACAUAGAGAAGAGGGAUGGGUUGAGUGGGCUUAAAGGAAGUGAAGCCGCGGUGGAGGACGAGGCGGGGGGAGGGGACCAAGUGGUGGACGAGGGGGAGGGAGGAACGGAGGAAGCGGUGGAGGCAGAGCUGAUAUAACCUCUGCUCCAUUGGCCUCGCCCGUGGCUGCUGCUUGCUAUUCCCUUCCCUUCCUCGGUUGGCUGCCCACCAGAAUCACCUUCAGCGUCCGUCCAUCCAUUCAUUCUGAAGUAGGGUAGGAAGAAGAAGCAUGGACGACAGAGAGGCUCGGAAACAAAACCAAUUGGCCAAGAAAAUUGACAAGAUCCUCGACGAGACUCGAACCGCCUUUGCCACCCACAACUGCAACCUCAAGGUCCUCUCCGCCCUCCUCUCUCAGUCUCACCCCCAUUUCUUCUCUGCUUCUCCAAAUCCCCAUCUCCUCUCUUAGACUUCCAGCGCCGCGCCCCUGCUCCUCGAGCUCGGCCUCCCUCUUUGUAGCACAACUCUCUCUCUCUCUCUCUCUCUCUCUCUCUCUCACCCGUAGCUCAUCAGCUCAUCGGCGAAUCACCAUUGUUGUCCCCUUGUUGGGAGAACCUGUCCCCCACCCCCCUCUCCUCUGAAUUUUGAUUGGAGCCCCACUCGAAUCCGACCUGCCGAUUGCUCCGCCAUGAAGUAGCGUCUUCGAGUAAACUGUACAGAUCUUAUUUGAAUACGCUGGGCGAGAAAUAUCAGGAGUUUGUUAGGGAAGCGUCGGAAGGAGAGGGAGCAUUGGAGGGAGAGGAAGUGGAGGAAGGAGACGGUGGAGAGGAAGGAGGAAAGGAAGAUGGAGAGGAGAAGGGGGUGAGGGGACCAAUGAGGGCAGGAGGAGAGGGAGAAAAGGAGGGAGGUGAGCUUGGAGAGAAUGAGCUGCCAUCAGCCGAAGAAGGAGCGGGCGGUCGGGGAACUAUAGGCAAUAAUUUUUUUAUGCCAGAAAGAAUCACAUCAUUAAUUUACUCGAUUAUCAAAUGCAUGAACUAUAUUAUGAUAAAAAUGGUAAUAUAGAGCUUUCGAAUUAAUUUUUAAUUAUGCUUGUAUAAAAUUAUAAUAACUUGUGAAGUAAAAUAAGUAGAUUAUGUUUCUCAUGUUGAUAGAGUUACAUGGAACUUUUGAAAGGAGAAAUAUAUAUUCGGAAUUUAGAAGGGAUUUAUAAGGGAGUUGAUGUUGGGACUAGUUUGUUAGACAAAACGAUCUGUACUUUGUUAGACAGAACUGUCUUUGGAGUAUUAAAUUGAUAGUUUUCUCCAAAGCUUGUUUAUUUUAAAAACAAAAUUAUCUUUCUCCAUAAAGUAAAUAAUUUUUAAUGUAUUAAUUUUCAAAUACACUCAACAAAAAGGGAGAUUUACCAUUCCCACGAGUCUCUAUUUUGAAUCUCUAAAGUGGGUUCUACAAUUUGAAUUUAAAAAAAGAGAGAAAAAAGGGCAAAAGUUGCAGCGUUGGCCCAUGGGUUGCCACGCGGCAGCCUCCCAUUGGUAUCUCAUGCUCAAAUGAGAGGCACACUCCAAUGACAGAGAUGCUGUCGCGUGUCUCUCUCUCAUGCCACGUGGGCAUAAGAGACGUGGCAAAGACUGCCGCUAGAAGUAGUCUAAGGUGCUAAGUUAGAGGAAUCAUACAGAGCAAAAUCGAGGGAAAUGAAGUAGGGAUAGUUGGGAUAUAGGUAGGACAUCUUGGAAUUGAAGCUGAGGCUUGCAUUUGCUUAGAUAAUCAACACGGUUUGGUAUGUCAGAGCUGAAAUUGUUGUCUUUGUUGUGUUUGUUGAUCUUCUCUCUAUUUGUUAUUUGGUUUAUCUUGCAUGUGGGUGAUUUGCAUGUUGGUUUUUCUUUUGACUUGUUAUUUGGGCUUCUUGCAUGUGGUUGAUGUAGAGUUGUUUUAUGUUGAUUUUCGCUAAACGAUCAAAGCUAGGUUCAAUAAGCUCAGCUAUACGUUUGUAUCUGAUUCUUGAACUCUUUGUGCGUGUUAGUACUUCUUAAGAACUCGUUAGAAUGAAAAUUUUAGAGCAUUGUAAUUGAAGAAUUGAAGGGAUUAGAGCUCUUGAUAUAUAGUGAGCUAAUACUUAGGUGGUAGAAUUGGUUGCGAUGGCAAGGCAGUAGGGGAUUUUCUUUUGCCUUUAAUUAUUAAGCAACUCUUUCAAAUUGGUUGCUUCCUUCGAAAUGAUUAGUGGCUUUAACUACUUAUCUAUAAUUAGGAGCCAACGAGUUUUGAAGGAGUUUUCUUUAAGGAUGAUGUGGCACCAUUUGUCAUAUUAUAUAUACAUAUAUUUGGAUAGUAUGAGCUUGAUAUAACUCAGUGAUUUGUCAUGUUUAUGGUAUAUAAGGACCGAAGAGACUGAACCCUUGCAUCCGGAAGACUCAACUCGUUGAGUUAUUUCUUGGAAUCUUUAUGACUUAGAGGCUAGAUCAGUGGAGGAGAAACUUUUGGAUAUCAAGGAUCAACGUGAAGAUUUUUGGCAGCUAGAUCUACUCCUAGUUUUGAAAAAUAUUCGGUGGAUGAAAAGGAUGACAAAACAAAGGCUUUUUGAAAAUCUGUCAGCAACACUGCCGCAGGUCAUGAUCUGGUUCGUACUCAUUUCAGAUGCCUGCAUAUUCACUUUGUUCUAAAAUUAUCAUCCAUCUUUAGUUCACUUCUAAAUUUGUUCCGUUGUGUAUUGCUCUAAACUUUUUGCUUAUUUGUUGCUGGUAUAUCGGUUGAGCUGCUUAUAAAAAGAAAGAUGAUAUUUUGAUUGAGGGACAAAAUGCACUAUGAAUCAAGCUUGUGCCUUAAGAAUGGUAUGUACUGCGGUUUUUCACCGGAAUAUAAAAGAAACUGUUUGGGAAGCCUGUGUACCAUCUCAUGUGACUUAACCUGGAUUUUCCUUUAUCAUUCAUGAGGUGGAUAUCGUUGUGUGUCCACCUCAUGUUCUUUCUAAAACUGAGAUAAAGAGAUUUUCUUCAUUCUACUUGUUGUAGACGUUAGACUGAAUGGUAAUCAUUUUGAUAUGAAAAAUUAUUACUAGAUGAAAAAUAUUUGGGGUUCCCUUUCAUGCUUGCCAUGAAGAUGAGUUCUCUGGUAUUUCCACUUUCUCUUUAGUAUUUCUUGAAGCAAAAUGAGAAAUUGGAUAGCUUUACGAGAGAUUUAUUGUUUUCCAAAAAAACUGAUUGUGGCAGUAGAGCUAGUCUCGUAACGUUUUCUCCCUCAUCUUUUAUUUCCAAGUAGCAAAAAAAUCAUAGUCUGUUUAUCUCUUCGAAAUGUAAGAAAAUCUACAUUUGGCAACCUCUCGAGUUAAAUGGUGGUGUAUGCGAAUGCAAGAACAGAGGCAUGGCAGGAGUUUGUGGUGGCGUUGAAGGAAUCCAUAGCUCAUGACUGUUGUAGGAUUCCAUAGGACAAUGUGGCUCCAUCCUUGUUCAAUGAAGGGAAAAAAAACAGAUUGAUCAGCAAGAGGUUCCAUU